Molecule: ribosomal RNA, 372 nt
Filed under: uncultured bacterium
Lineage: Bacteria
Description: bacterial SSU rRNA
Rfam family: Bacterial small subunit ribosomal RNA
Source: RNAcentral
UACGGAGGGUGCAAGCGUUAUCCGGAUUCACUGGGUUUAAAGGGUGUGUAGGCGGGCUGUUAAGUCAGUGGUGAAAUCCCCGGGCUCAACCUGGGAACUGCCGUUGAUACUAUCAGUCUUGAAUUCUGUUGAGGUGGGCGGAAUACAUCAUGUAGCGGUGAAAUGCUUAGAUAUGAUGUAGAACACCGAUUGCGAAGGCAGCUCACUAAGCAGCGAUUGACGCUGAGGCACGAAAGCGUGGGGAUCAAACAGGAUUAGAUACCCUGGUAGUCCACGCCCUAAACGAUGAUUACUCGACGUGCGCGAUACACUGUGCGCGUCUGAGCGAAAGCAUUAAGUAAUCCACCUGGGAAGUACGACCGCAAGGUUGAA